RNAcentral lists this long non-coding RNA (810 nucleotides) under Homo sapiens (human). RNAcentral's name for it is "non-protein coding lnc-ENTPD8-1:1". The record is from RNAcentral. Lineage: Eukaryota; Metazoa; Chordata; Mammalia; Primates; Hominidae.
CUCACACAGACGCCCCAUUCCCCUCGGCCCCAGGCAACGGUCACCGUCACCCGCAAACCCCGUACCCCUCACACAGACGCCCCAUUCCCCUCAGCCCCAGGCAACGGUCACCGUCACCCACAAACCCCGUACCCCUCACACAGACGCCCCCAUUCCCCUCGGCCCCAGGCAACGGUCACCGUCACCCGCAAACCCUGUACCCCUCACACAGACGCCCCCAUUCCCCUCGGCCCCAGGCAACGGUCACCGUCACCCACAAACCCCGUACCCCUCACACAGACGCCCCAUUCCCCUCGGCCCCAGGCAACGGUCACCGUCACCCACAAACCCCGUACCCCUCACACAGACGCCCCCAUUCCCCUCGGCCCCAGGCAACGGUCACCGUCACCCACAAACCCUGUACCCCUCACACAGAUGCCCCAUUCCCCUCGGCCACAGGCAAUGGUCACCGUCACCCACAAACCCCGUACCCCUCACACAGACGCCCCAUUCCCCUCGGCCCCAGGCAAUGGUCACCGUCACCCACAAACCCCGUACCCCUCACACAGAUGCCCCAUUCCCCUCGGCCCCAGGCAACGGUCACCGUCACCCACAAACCCUGUACCCCUCACACAGACGCCCCAUUCCCCUUGUCACACAGGCCCUAGCCACUGCUCACCCGCUUUCUGCCUCUGGAUUUGCCACUUCUGGACAGUUCACACACAUGCGGUCACAUAACAUGGGGUCUUUUGUGACUUGCUUCUUCAUUUAGCACGAUAUCAAGGCUUGUCUAUGUGGAUGUCUGUGUCAGCUUCCUCCUUUUCCGUGGCU